Molecule: ribosomal RNA, 1305 nt
Filed under: Triticum aestivum (bread wheat)
Lineage: Eukaryota; Viridiplantae; Streptophyta; Magnoliopsida; Poales; Poaceae
Description: partial small subunit ribosomal RNA
Source: RNAcentral
AUGACCUUCGCCGGCAGCGGUGAUGGCCCGAGCGGCUCUGCGAGGGCGCACUUCGUGCUGGUACCCAUGAUGGCUCAGGGUCAUACCAUCCCCAUGACCGACAUGGCACGCCUGCUGGCAGAACAUGGCGCGCAGCGGAGUUCGGCCUACCCCGGGUGCGAGAACCUCGACAUGAUCCAAUCAAAGAAUUUGUUCCUGAACUUCAUGGAGACCUGUGCUGCGCUGCAGGAGCCGCUCAUGGCGUACCUCCGUGAGCAGCAGCGCUUGCCUCCUAGCUGCAUCAUAUCUGACCUGGUUCACUGGUGGACUGGUGACAUCGCAAGGGAGCUUGAUAUCCCAAGGCUGACCUUUAAUGGCUUUUGUGGCUUCUCGUCCCUCAUCAGGUACAUCACUUAUCACAACAAUGUAUUUCAAAAUGUCAAAGACGAAAAUGAGCUCAUCACAAUCACAGGGUUCCCUACGCCACUAGAGCUGACAAAGGCAAAAUGCCCUGGAAAUUUUUGUAUUCCUGGUAUGAAGCAAAUCCGUAAGAAGUUCCUUGAAGAGGAGCUGAAAAGUGAUGGUGAGGUAAUUAACAGCUUCCAGGAGCUGGAGACAUUGUACAUUGAAUCCUUUGAGCAGACGACAAAGAAGAAGCCAGGCUCAGUGGUCUUUGUCAGCUUUGGCAGCCUCGCUUGCACUACACCUCAACAGCUUGUUGAGCUGGGACUGGGACUUGAAACCUCCAGGAAACCGUUUAUUUGGGUGAUCAAAGCAGGAGCUAAGCUUCCAGAAGUUGAGGAAUGGCUCGCAGACGAGUUCGAGGAGCGUGUCAAAAAUAGAGGCAUGGUCAUAAGGGGUUGGGCACCACAGCUCAUGAUCCUGCAGUACCAAGCCGUUGGAGGAUUCGUGACGCACUGCGGGUGGAACUCAACAGUAGAGGGCAUCUGUGCAGGUGUGCCCAUGAUCACAUGGCCGCACUUUGGGGAGCAGUUUUUGAAUGAGAAGCUGCUGGUGGAUGUGCUGAAAAUUGGGAUGGAGGUUGGAGUGAAAGGAGUUACACAGUGGGGAAGUGAAAACCAGGAGGUUAUGGUUACAAGAGAUGAGGUGCAGAAAGCUGUGAACACCCUGAUGGAUGAGGGGGCGGCUGCAGAAGAGAUGAGGGUGAGAGCAAAAGACUGCGCCAUUAAGGCAAGGAGGGCUUUCAAUGAGGGAGGUUCUUCGUAUGACAACAUAAGGCUAUUAAUUCAAGAAAUGGAAAUCAAGACGAAUGCAUGUGGUUCAGUGGUUGAUACAGAUGGUAAUAAGCUCUCUUUUUUGGUGUAA